CAGAGGUGUGACGGGGAGCGAAAUAAAAGUAGCGAAGUCCGGAUACAUGCUGUCAAGAAAAGCCGCUAUUGCGCCAUAUGUACCCGUACCGUAAACCGACACAGGUGGAUGAGGAGAGAAUCCUAAGGCCGGCGGGAGAAGUGUUGUUAAGGAACUCGGCAAAAUGGCCCCGUAACUUCGGGAGAAGGGGCGCCCAGAAAUGGGCCGCAGAGAAAAGGCUCAAGCAGCUGUUUAGCAAAAACACAGGUCUAUGCGAAACCGAAAGGUGAGGUAUAUGGGCUGACGCCUGCCCGGUGCUGGAAGGUUAAGGGGAGAGGUUAGCCGCAAGGCGAAGCUUUGAACUUAAGCCCCAGUAAACGGCGGCCGUAACAAUAACGGUCCUAAGGUAGCGAAAUUCCUUGUCGGGUAAGUUCCGACCCGCACGAAAGGCGUAAUGAUUUGAGCACUGUCUCGACAACACACCCGGUGAAAUUGAAAUACCAGUGAAGAUGCUGGUUACCUGCGCCAGGACGGAAAGACCCCAUGGAGCUUUACUCUAGUUUGAUACUGGGACCCGGUAUGACAUGUACAGGAUAGGUGGGAGGCAAAGAAUUAAUGACGCCAGUCAUUAAGGAGCCGAUGUUGGGAUACCACCCUUGUGAUGCCAGGUUUCUAACGAGCUGCCGUGAACCGGCAGGCGGACAAUGUCAGGCGGGGAGUUUGACUGGGGCGGUCGCCUCCGAAAGGGUAUCGGAGGCGCUCAAAGGUUCCCUCAGAAUGGUUGGAAACCAUUCGGAGAGUGCAAAGGCAGAAGGGAGCCUGACUGCGACACCGACGGGUGGAGCAGGUACGAAAGUAGGACUUAGUGAUCCGGUGGUAUAAAGUGGGAUUGCCAUCGCUCAACGGAUAAAAGCUACCCUGGGAUAACAGGCUUAUCACUCCCAAGAGUUCACAUCGACGGAGUGGUUUGGCACCUCGAUGUCGGCUCAUCGCAUCCUGGGGCUGGAGUAGGUCCCAAGGGUUGGGCUGUUCGCCCAUUAAAGCGGUACGCGAGCUGGGUUCAGAACGUCGUGAGACAGUUCGGUCCCUAUCCGGCGCGGGCGUAAGAGAUUUGAGAGGAGCUGUCCUUAGUACGAGAGGACCGGGAUGGACGGACCACUGGUGUAUCUGUUGCACCACCAGGUGCACGGCAGAGUAGCCAAGUCUGGAAGGGAUAAACGCUGAAGGCAUCUAAGCGUGAAGCCCCCCUCAAGAUAAGAUCUCUCAUUCGAAAGAAGUAAGACCCCUUGAAGACGACGAGGUAGAUAGGGCAGGGGUGGAAGGGCAGUAAUGUCCGGAGCUGACUGUUACUAAUCGGUCGAGGGCUUGACC
Molecule: ribosomal RNA, 1350 nt
Filed under: metagenome
Description: bacterial LSU rRNA
Rfam family: Bacterial large subunit ribosomal RNA
Source: RNAcentral